UGGGGUAUCGCCAAGCGGUAAGGCAACUGGUUUUGGUCCAGUCAUUCAGAGGUUCGAAUCCUCUUACCCCAUCCACCAC
RNAcentral lists this transfer RNA (79 nucleotides) under Campylobacter californiensis. RNAcentral's name for it is "Campylobacter sp. RM6914 tRNA-Gln". It matches the Rfam family "tRNA". Rfam says of the family: Transfer RNA (tRNA) molecules are approximately 80 nucleotides in length. Their secondary structure includes four short double-helical elements and three loops (D, anti-codon, and T loops). The record is from RNAcentral. Lineage: Bacteria; Pseudomonadati; Campylobacterota; Epsilonproteobacteria; Campylobacterales; Campylobacteraceae.